RNAcentral lists this ribosomal RNA (422 nucleotides) under Thermococcales archaeon Apa10. Its description in RNAcentral is "bacterial SSU rRNA". It matches the Rfam family "Archaeal small subunit ribosomal RNA", at positions 350 to 773 of the family's 1478-position model. Lineage: Archaea; Methanobacteriati; Methanobacteriota; Thermococci; Thermococcales. The record is from RNAcentral.
CUCCCAUGCGGGAAACCGCGACGGGGGGACCCCCAGUGCCGUGCCUCUGGCACGGCUUUUCCGGAGUGUAAAAAGCUCCGGGAAUAAGGGCUGGGCAAGGCCGGUGGCAGCCGCCGCGGUAAUACCGGCGGCCCGAGUGGUGGCCACUAUUAUUGGGCCUAAAGCGGCCGUAGCCGGGCCCGUAAGUCCCUGGCGAAAUCCCACGGCUCAACCGUGGGGCUCGCUGGGGAUACUGCGGGCCUUGGGACCGGGAGAGGCCGGGGGUACCCCCGGGGUAGGGGUGAAAUCCUAUAAUCCCGGGGGGACCGCCAGUGGCGAAGGCGCCCGGCUGGAACGGGUCCGACGGUGAGGGCCGAAGGCCAGGGGAGCGAACCGGAUUAGAUACCCGGGUAGUCCUGGCUGUAAAGGAUGCGGGCUAGGUG